RNAcentral lists this small RNA (74 nucleotides) under Arabidopsis thaliana (thale cress). RNAcentral describes it as "ATSL283350". Lineage: Eukaryota; Viridiplantae; Streptophyta; Magnoliopsida; Brassicales; Brassicaceae. The record is from RNAcentral.
UAUUUUUUUUUAAUAAUAUGGGAGACUAAUCUCCCUCAUUCUACCAAAAAAUUAAGGGAAAUAUUUUUUCUUAA